UGGGGAAUAUUGCACAAUGGGCGCAAGCCUGAUGCAGCCAUGCCGCGUGUGUGAAGAAGGCCUUCGGGUUGUAAAGCACUUUCAGCGGGGAGGAAGGCGAUAAGGUUAAUAACCUCAUCGAUUGACGUUACCCGCAGAAGAAGCACCGGCUAACUCCGUGCCAGCAGCCGCGGUAAUACGGAGGGUGCAAGCGUUAAUCGGAAUUACUGGGCGUAAAGCGCACGCAGGCGGUCUGUCAAGUCGGAUGUGAAAUCCCCGGGCUCAACCUGGGAACUGCAUUCGAAACUGGCAGGCUAGAGUCUCGUAGAGGGGGGUAGAAUUCCAGGUGUAGCGGUGAAAUGCGUAGAGAUCUGGAGGAAUACCGGUGGCGAAGGCGGCCCCCUGGACGAAGACUGACGCUCAGGUGCGAAAGCGUGGGGAGCAAACAGG
This 429-nucleotide ribosomal RNA is filed under the name Chloroflexota bacterium. RNAcentral describes it as "Chloroflexi bacterium partial 16S ribosomal RNA". It matches the Rfam family "Bacterial small subunit ribosomal RNA", at positions 355 to 776 of the family's 1533-position model. The record is from RNAcentral. Lineage: Bacteria; Bacillati; Chloroflexota.